This 10584-nucleotide long non-coding RNA is filed under the name Gossypium raimondii (Peruvian cotton). Its description in RNAcentral is "long non-coding RNA (GRAI_LNC004257)". The record is from RNAcentral. Lineage: Eukaryota; Viridiplantae; Streptophyta; Magnoliopsida; Malvales; Malvaceae.
UUCAUUGGCAACACCUCCCUUCAACAUUCUCAAGCUUGCUUUCCAAGUUAUCUGAUAUCUUCCUUUUCUUCCCUUUUGAAGCAUACAUCCAUCAAAAACAACAAUGGCUAUCCGCCUGCCUCGUAUGGUUAGUUCUAAGAAGGUUCCCAAGGGAUACUUUGCAGUUUAUGUUGGAGAAAGCCAGAAGAGGUUAGUGAUACCGGUUUCAUUCUUGAACCAUCCUUCAUUUCAAGAUUUGCUAGGGAAGUCAGAAGAAGAGUUUGGAUAUAGUCAUCCUACCGGUGGUCUCACAAUUCCCUGCAACGAAGACACCUUUCUCGAAGUUACCUCUCGCCUGUAUUGAUCGUGAGAUGAUUAACACAAACCAGUCAAUACAAUCUUGUAAAGCAAAAAUCACUAAAUACAUGUAAACAUUUUUUUCUCCAUCCUUUUUGUCUUGGGGAGCUGAUAUAUAAGUCACCCCAAGUGGAAAACUAAAGAUGGUGAUUACUGUAACACUCCUAUCUAUUCAGUAAUGACAGUUCCAAACACAUCAUUCAGUUGUCAUUUUAUUUCCUUUCUGAAAUUUUUACUUGUUUUACGUUAAUUCCGUCUUUAAUAUAAUUUAAAUGAUCUACCUUAUUCGAAAUUACUUCAUACUACAAGCCAAGUUAAAUGGAGAAGCAGUAGAGUACAACUAUUCUACUUUGAAGAAGCAUUUUAAAGAUGAAAAUUAAAACACAUCAUUCAAUUGAAAAUUUAUUUCCUUUGAGAAUUUCCUAUGGUACCCCUGUUAUUGUUAAUUUCAUCUUUAAACUGUAAGUGAUCCAUAUUUUUUCAACAAUUACUUCAUAUUACAAGCUAACUGUAAAUUACUAGCAUUUAUCAUUUUUCUCUACAUAUACGAGUAGUAAGGGUGCUUCCCACUGUCCAAUAUGAAUAUAAUUGUACAUAUAUAAUCUAACAUAAUGUAAAUUUCUGUAUUCUUUUGUCUCCAUUGUUCCUGUAAAGGAAAUUCAAAGUAAAAUUCACCACCCACUUUUAUUCUCCUUUUUGCAAACAAUGACUACUUAAUAUAUAGAUGUCAGCAAGUGGAAUGUAAGGCCACCAUCAUCAUCACUUCUUCUAUUCAAAUUCCCUUUUGACCAGUCGUCUUAUCUCCCCUUAUCCCAUUCAUUUAGCUAAAGUGUUAAGCUUACUGUUACUAAUAAAUGGUCAAUAUAUGCAGAGAACUCCACAAACAUGCCAUCAGUAAUGUGGAUUAAAAUCAUAUUCAUCUGUCAGGCUUAAUAUUGUCUUUCUCCCCCAUGGUACAAUUUGAUUGCAGCACAGCAUAGACAACAAGACGGAUAAAAAUGCAAGAAGUUGGGUUCUGACGAGGACUAGUUGCAGCCUAUAAGACACACUUCAGGUGUUCUUCACAAGCGUUUGUCUUACAAGUUACUCAUUGAAGUUAACACAUGACUGAUCAGACCAUGUGAUUUACCAAUGAAUUCUUGAUAAUCCUUUGGAAGACAACACCAUGUGAUUCCCCAUGACCCUAUGUCCUUCUCAUUACUGAUCAGACCCCAGCAAUAUGUCCCUUCACCACUCAUUCCCUUUGGCCCCCUUACAUCUAUAUAUACAAGUAUGAUUAUGUUCAUAUGCAACACAUAUCUUCACAUCCUCAAAGUACUACAGUUCUCUGAGAUCUUCUUCUACCCUUUUGAAGCAUACCUCUAUUGGAAAACAACCAUGGCUAUCCGCUUGCCUCAUAUCGUUGGUUCUAAGAAAGUUCCCAAGGGCUACUUUGCAGUUUAUGUUGGAGAAAACCAGAAGAGGUUCGUGAUACCAGUGUCGUUCUUGAGCCAGCCUUUAUUCCAAGAUUUGCUUGGCAUGUCACAAGAGGAGUUUGGAUAUAGCCAUCCUACAGGCGGUCUCGCGAUUCCCUGCAACGAAGACAUUUUUCUCGAUGUUACCUCUCGUUUGAAUUGAUUGUGAGAGAGUCAACCCAAAUCAGCCUAUACAAUUUUGUAAGCAAAAAUCACUAACACCAUGUAAGCAUUUUUUCCUCCAUCCUUUUUGCCUUGGGGAGCAGAUACAAGUCUCCCUAAGUGAAAAAUUAGAGAUGGUGAUUACUGUAACUUCUAUCAAUCAGUAUGGAAAAUGACAAUUCAAAAGGCAUCAAUAAAAUGGAACUUUAUUUACUUCCAGAAUUUCCUAUCUUUAAAUUAACUGUAAAUGAUCUAUGUUGGAACUUAAGCAGUAAAACAAAAACAAAAACAGCAGACUAAGCAAAGAAAUCGAAGCAUAAACAAAAUGAAAAAAAUUGGGAGAAUUGUAACCGAAAAAAUUCAUCUUAAUUUUUCAUUCAAAAUUUGAAUAAUAUAUAAGUUACAAAGUAAUGGGCAGUUAGCUAAUGACUUAAUUGCUUCCACUAAUACAAGACUAAGAUUUGUUUGAAUUACACACAAAAGAUAGCUGACAUAUCAGCUAUUACAUCAACUUAGAUCAUAAACUAAUCCUACUAACUUUGUAAACAAAUUACAAAUGAAUUAGCCAAAGUUACAUAGGAAAAAAAUGAUCAAAACAUAUUGUUGCAUUCGGUUCAGCUCCAUUUCUGCACUUCAAACAGUCUUGCUGCUGGUGUUGUGCUGAACUGCAACUGGUCUCCUGUUGCAAUGCAGGCCAAAGCUAGUAGCUCCUAAUGGCUUAGUUAAAAUGUCAGCCAAUUGAGUUUCUGAGCUACAAUGGACAAACAAGAUUGACUUCCCUUGAUUGCUCAGCUUCUCGAACAAAAUGGAAUUUGAUUUUAAAGUGUUUAGUCUUGCCAUAAAAGACUGGAUUUUUGGUUAUAACAACUGCAGAUUGGUUAUCCACCCUAAUCUCAGUUGGUUCAGCUUGUUCUUCAUUAAGAUCAUAUAGGAGCUUCCUAAGCCAAAUGGCUUGAUUAACAGCUGCAGCUGCUGCAAUGUAUUCUGCUUCAGCUAUGGAUUGAGCAACAGUUUGUUGUUUCUUUGAACUCCAGAAGAAGACACCUGAUCCAAGUGUAAAGAAGUAACCAGAGGUGUUCUUCAUGUCAUCGGCAGAGCCAGCCCAAUCACUAUUAGAGUAUCCUGCUAGCUUAAGCUCCUUUCCCUUCUCAAACUUGACUCCAUAACUUGAAGUUCCCUUGACAUAUCUGAGAAUUCUCUUGGCUGCUUUGAAAUGAACCACAUCAUAGCAGUGUAUAAACCUUGACAAAAGACUAACACCAAACAUAAUAUCAGGCCUAGUUACUGUUAAGUAAAGCAAGCAACCUACCAGGCUUCGAUAUUCCUUCUCAUCAAUUCUCACUUGAUUCCCAUUGCUAGUCAGCUUCUCCCCUUGAGCCACAGGUGUGCUGACUAUUUUGCAGUUCUGCAUAUAAAGUUUAUUAAGAAUUUUUAAAGCAAAGGCAUGUUGAAUAAUGAAAAUACCUUGAUCAGAUUGAUGCACUUCCAUACCAAGGAAGUAUGUCAUGACUCCCAAAUCUGUCAUUUCUAGUCAGCUUCUCCCCUUGAGCCACAGGUGUGCUGACUAUUUUGCAGUUCUGCAUAUGAAGUUUAUUAAGAAUUUUUAAAGCAAAGGCAUGUUGACUAAUGAAAAUACCUUGAUCAGAUUGAUGCACUUCCAUACCAAGGAAGUAUGUCAUGACUCCCAAAUCUGUCAUUUCAAACACCUCUUGCAUCUGCACUUUGAAUUCACUAAUCACUUCAUGUUUGCUUCCAGUCACAAGUAAGUCAUCCACAUAGAGAGAAACAAUCAGCAAUGUCUCACUUUCUGACCUCUUCACAUAAAGUGUAGCCUCAAUAACACUUUUUUCAAACCUGAGCCUAGACAGGUAUGUGUCAAUCCUAUCAUACUAGGGUCUUGGUACCUGCUUCAGGCUAUAAAGAGUCUUUCUCAAUCUAUAGACUUUGUCUUCAUCACCUACAACUUUGAAUCCAUCAAGUUGCUCAAUGAAAAUCUCCUCCUUGAGGAAACCAUUCAAAAAUGCUGACUUAACAUCUAAUUGAUGAACAUUCCAUUACUUCUGAGUAGCCAAGGCAAAAAAAAGUUUAAUUGUGUCCAGCCUUGCCACUAGAGCAAAUGUCUCCGUGAAAUCGAUGUCAUAUUGCUGGCUGUAGCCUUUUACCACAAGCCUUGUCUUGUGCUUGUUCAAUGAGCCAUCAGCAUUUUACUUGGCUCUAAACACCCACUUAACACCAAUGACCCUCUUAUGAUCAGGUCUGUUCACCAGUUCCCAUGUAUCAUUCUUGUAGAUCAUUUUCAAUUCAGCUUCUAUGGCCCUUUUCCAAUGUUUGUCAUUGGCAGUUUCUUUAAAAUCAGAGGGUUCAACUAUUGCAACAUCACAUCUUUGAUAGAUGUCAAUAAUAGUUUUGGUGCCUCUCACAGGAGCAUCAUCAAUGGCUUCAUUGCUGGGUCCUUCUUCAGCAGGUUCAAGAACAAAAUCUUGCUAAUCUUCUUCAAUCAAGCUGGCAUCAACACCUUUCCAGCUCCAAACCUUACAUCCCUACUCACCAAAAUCUUCUUUGUUGAGGGAUCAAACACUUUAUAGUCCUUCUUAGUACUACUAUAGCCAACAAAGAUCCCUGGAACAACUCUUCUUUCAAGCUUGGUCCUUUUUUCUACUGGAGAGCAUAACACACACAGCCAAACACUUCCAGGUGUGAAACAAUUGGCUUAAGUCCAUACCAAGCUUCAAAAGGAGUCUUGUCCUUGACAGCAUGAGUUGGUAGCUUAUUGAGUAGGUACACUGAAGUAUUGACUACCUCAGCCCAAAAUUUGCUUGGCAGUUUGCUCUGAAAUAGCAAAUAUCUAGCCAUAUCAAGCACAGUUUUAUUCUUCCUACCUGAGACCAUUGCCGGAAUCGAGCACGAAGCAUUACCUAACUUAACUUACUAAAUCGGAGCAUAAAAAUUUUCUUUUUAAAAAAAAUUAAUUCACUCACGUUCAAUCAAUAUGUCCCUAAAAAGGAUCAUCAAGACCCUAAAACAUGCAAUGAAAAUGGUUCAGGUCCAAACCGGGAAUAUUAAAAAUUUUUCAAAUACUUAAACAAAUUAAAAAUAAUUUAUCACUAUUCACAAUAAAACUGUCCAACUGCACAGUAGUCACUAAAUUAAUUAUAACUUGAGUUACGAAACUAGAAAUUUAAAUAUGUAAAAUUUCUCUAAAACUAGACUCAUAUAUCUUAUUAUCAUAAAAUUUUCAGAAUUUUUGGAUUGGCCAAUUAGUACAGUUUAUUAGUUAAAGUCUCCCCUGUUUCACUAUUUGAUAGUUUUGACCUCUCGUCACUAAAAAUUAAUUAUCUCAUUGUACAGAUUUCAUAUGCUACUUCCGCUUGUUUCUACUGAAAAUAGACUCACCAAGGAAUCAAGAAAUAUAAAUUAUAACUCAUAAUUAUUUCUGUACAAUUUUUAAUAAUUUUCCAAAUUCAGGACAAGGGAUUUCAAAAUCAUUCUGACCCUAUCUCACUAAAAUUCAAAUAUCUCAUAAUAUAAAAUUCAUUUGCCUAUACCGUUUCUUUCAUAUGAAAAUAGACUCGAUAAUAUUUAAUCCUAUCUCACAUUCACUAUCUAAUUCCAUUACUAAUAUCCUCAGUGAAAUUUUCAAAAUCACAUCACUGCUACUGUCCAAGAAAAAAAACUAUUCCAUUGUAUUUUUUUUUUUACUCUUUCAUAAUUUCUUUGUAUUAACUAGCAUUUAGGCAUACAUAACACUAAACAUAUUCUUAAUUAGUCAUCUCAAUAGCUAAUCAUUAUCAAAUAACUUUACUUCCCUAUUUCAACCUUUUUCGAAACACAAUCCAAACAAUUAACCAUGUUAUUUAAUCAAGCAUGAAACCACACAUAUCAAAAUAAACAAGCCAUUUUUGCAUGGCUCAUUAUACAUAUAUAUACAUCAUUCAAAAUAUAUUCCAAAAAGUAGUAUAGACUAUACAUGCCAUAAGUUUAAGUUUAACUUUUAUAGAUACCGAUAACGGACGAUAGUGUGAUUGAUUUCGUUAACGAUCCCCGAUCCCGCAACUAACUUCCAAAAUCUAUAAAACCGAGGCAAACACAUAUGCACAGUAACCUAUCAAAGCUUAGUAAGUCAUAAGCAAAUAAACAAUCCAAUGUUAUUAAUAGUUCAAUAUCACAUAACCAAAUUAUUCAAUUCAUAUCCAUAUAUAUAUAUAAGCAUUAAAAAAAAAACAUAAUUGUGAUAUCACAUACCCUUAUCAUUUGGCCAAAUAUAGUCUUUAAUACACACACACAUACUUUCAUUUACAUCAUCUAAUUUGUAUCACAAAUGAAAUAACCAACUUACCUUGAUAUCAUAUAUUAUUUAACUAUUACAUACUUGUAAUAUCAUGUACUUAUAUGUCACAUUCAUCAUUCACUGGAUCCGCACAAUUUGUGCUAAAUAAUUUGUUGAAGCUAUAAUGACGUUGCACAAUUAGUGCUCUCUCUUAUUUAACGAAAUUGAUCUUGGUAUUGCACACUUAGUGCUCGUUAUUCGACAUCGUCAUUUUUGUUUCGCACACUUAGUGCCCGUUAUUCAACGUCUUCAUUUUAAUUUCUCACACUUAGUGCCAUUCGUAUAGCCAUAGCUAUUCCAUACUCGCACACUCAGUGCUAAAUAUCGGUAAAUCACAUCCACAUCUAUUUCUGUUACCCGAACUUAAACACAUUCAGCUACAUAUAUAUAAAUUUGCAUGUUUUCAUUUCAGAAUAUAUAUAACUAAUAUUUAUUUAGAAUUUAUAUCAUCUAUUUGCUUAUAAACUUACCUCGGAUAACGAUAAACCGGAACGGAACGAUUAAUCGACGACUUUUGUUUUCCCCCGAUCCAAGUCCGAUUUCUUUAAUUCUUGACCUAAACAUAUUCAAAUUAAACUCAUUCAAACAUAAUUUCAUUCAAUUCAGUCAAAAACGCAUAAAUAAGUAACUUUCACUUUUGCCCCUGACAUUUCACAUUUUUUACAAUUUAGCCCAUAUUUCACAAAAUACAAAAUAUUCCAAAUUUGACCACACUAUGGCUUGGCCGAAUAUUCCCUAAACUCAUAUAAGUCCAUACAUGUCAUUUAUUUCACAUAUUUAACACCUAUUUUAUAACCUUUACAAAAUGGUCCUUUUAAGUGUUUUCAUGGUAACACCUUUUACAAAAGUUGUUUAUUUAACAACUAGGAGUCAUUUUCUUCCAUAAAAAUGCAGCAACAUCACAUGGAAAAACCCUAGACUUCCAACUAUUUUGCAAAAUAGUCCCCUCAUUAGCUAGCUCAAGCUACAAGGGUUCCAAAAGUACAAAAAUUAUCAAAGAAUGGUCAUCAAAACACUUACUUGUAAGGAGAAAAGCUUGCUGAAAUUUUUAAGCUCUCAAACCCCUACUUUGCUGCUAAUUUUCGGUGAUGAAGGUGGAGAAAAAAAGAUGAUAUCACUCUUUUCUUUAUUUUAUGAUAAAAAUCAAUUUAGUCACCAAAUUUUUACCUAACCAAUUGACCAAAUCUUUUCUUUGUCCCUAUGGCCGGCCACCACCCUAAACAAGGCCUAAUUGCACAUUAGGGACCUCCAAUUAAUAUUCUAUAGCUUUUAGACACCUUUAGCUUGUAAAGUAGAACUUUUACACUUUAUGCGAUUUAGUCCUUUUAUCAAAUUAAGCACACAAACAGUAAAAUUAAAUCACGAAAUUUUCACACAUAUUAAUUCACAAGUUAUAAACAUAGAAAAUAAUAUUUAAAAAUUUUUCUAACUCGAAUUUGUGGUUUCGAAACCACUAUUCCGAUUAGGAUCGAAAUCGGGUUGUUACACAUACUCCAUUCUGUUGAGGAGUAUACACUGUUGUUAGCUGAUUGUGAAUUCCAACUUGUUCACACAGUUUCUGAAACCUUUCAGAUAGGUACUCAGUGCCAUUAUCAGUUCUCAAGGCCUUGAUCUUGCAACCUGUUUGGUUUUCAACUAAACCUUUGAAUUUGCUGAAUGCUUCAAACACUUCAGAUUUUUGCUUCAAGAAAUAAACCCAACAGAACCUGGUUAAGUCAUCUAUGAACAAAACAAAAUACUUAUUGUCAUUCAAUGAAGAAGUCUUCAUUGGUCCACAAACAUCAUAAUGAACCAAUUCAAGCUUUUCUCGAGCUCUCCAUGCACUGUUAGCUGGAAAAGGCAAUCUAGCCUGCUUACCAAGCUGGCAGACUUCACAAACAAUGUUUCUUAUCUCAACCCUAGACAUGUCCUCAACCAAGUUCAGCCUAUGCAACAAGUCAAGUGAUCUAUGGUUAACAUGGCCAAGCCUUUUGUGCCAUAGGCCAACAUUAUCAACAAGACUGGUGUAGGCUUUCUUCUCGAGUUGAUUCACAUUGAGCAUAAAACACUUGUCCGUCAUUGCUACUGUGACUAACUUCUGGCCAAAUGAAUCUUUAACAAUGCAGGAGAUAUCUUUAAAGACCAAAGAAUAUCCUUUUUCCACUAACUGACCAACACUAAGCAGAUUCUGAUCUAUGUCAAGCACAAAAAACACAUCAGAAAUGAUUUUGUUACCUGAACAAGUCUUGAUCACAACAUCUCCUCUGCCUUGAGCUUCAAUUAGAUUCCCAUUACCAAUUUUGAUUUUUGCAGCAAAGCUUCUAUCAAGGUCUUUGAACAGCUUCUCAUCAGCUGCGCCAUAUGGUGUGAGCAACCACUAUCCACUAGCCAGUCACAUCUGACUUUGCUUGUGCUAGCAAAGUAGGAGGCUGUGACAAACAAUUGGGAGAAUUAUAACUGAAAAAAUUCACCUUAAUUUUUCAUUCAAAAUUUGAAUAAUAUAUGAGUUACAAAGUAAUGGGCAGUUACCUAAUGACUUAACUGCUCCCACUAAUACAAGACUAAGAUUUGUUUGAAUUACACGCAAAAGAUAGCUGACAUAUCAGCUAUUACAUCAACUUAAAUCAAAAACUAAUCCUGCUAAAUUUGUGAACAAAUUAAAAAUGAACUAGCCAAAGUUACAUAGGAACAAAAUGAUCAAAACAUAUUGUUGCAUUCGGUUCAGCUAUAUUUUUGCACUUCAAACAGUCUUGCUACUGGUGUUGCGCUGAACUACUGCUGGUCUCCUGUUGCAAUGCAGGCCAAAGCUUAACAAUCUACCUUGUUCUAAGUUAUUCGGACUCUUCAUUUUCAUUAGAAUACAUGCAUCCAACACAUAUUCAAACAUGAGUACAAAAUAGCAUGAUUCUCUAAAUAUAUGAAAAAACAUAGAAAAUGUAUUCAACAUUCAAGCACUAGUCCGAGUAACAUAGACUAUAAUAAUGAAUAGUCUUAUAUCCCUUUAUUGCAAUCUUUUAGCCAAAGAGUUAAAGCUUCGUUCUUUUCUCAAGUAGGACUUAGUCUUUAUAUAUAAUAAUGAAUAGUCAAAAUAUGCAGAAAACACUUAACAAACAUGCCAUAAAAUAAGUGAACUAAAAACAGGUUCAUCUGCAAGGUCAUCCAUAUAUAGCAGCACAUACCAGAAAUUUAGUGAGCUGUCAAGCUGAAUAUUGUCUUCACCUCCAUAGAACUAUUUGAUUGCAGCACGGCUAGUCAACAACAAGGAUAAAAUGCAACUAGUUGGGUUCUGAUGAGGACUAGUUGCAACCUGUAGGACACACUUAAAGUGCUCUUCACAAGGGUUUGUCUUACAAGAUCCAUACCUUAUUAAAAUCAACAUGCUUGGUGAGGUCACCCAUGUUACAUGUUUCCUGUCAUUUUCUGAUAGAUUUUAUGUCUCUAAACUAGGCACUGACAUAAAUGGUGAAGUGGUACAACUCUCCUACUGUAAAGAAGAAUUUUACUGGCCCAGAUCUUUCAUUCGACCAGUCCUUGGUCGGUUUCUAUUGCCAUAAGGGAUAGGCAAACUAAUUUUUCAAGGCCUCUCCCGUGGAAUUCUUGAUAAUGAGUUACAAGACAGCACCAUGUGAUCCUCCCCUAAUGAAACCAUGUCUUUCUUAUUAGUUAUCAGACCCCAGAAAUUUCCCCUUCACCACUCAUUGAACAUCCCCACUCAACACAGGAACAUGAUUUUUCUGUCUACCCCUUUCAUCUAUAUAUACAAAGAAGAAUAUGUUCAUUGGCAGCACCUAUCUUCACAUUCUCAAAAUACUACAGUUCUCUGAGAUCUUCCUCUUCUUCCUUUUUAGAAGCAUUCAUCUAUCAAAAACAACAAUGGCUAUCCGCCUGCCUCGUAUCAUUAGCUCUAAGAAAGUUCCCAAGGGCUACUUUGCAGUUUACGUUGGAGAAAACCAGAAGAGGUUCGUGAUACCAGUGUCAUUCUUGAACCAGCCUUUAUUUCAAGAUUUGCUUGGCAUGUCAGAACAAGAGUUCGGAUAUAGUCAUCCUACCGGCGGUAUUACAAUUCCCUGCAACGAAGAUAUCUUUCUCGUUGUCACCUCUCGAUUGAACUGAUUUGUGAGAGAUUUAACACAAAUCAACCCAUACAUUUUUGUAAAGCAAACAUCACUAACAUCAUGUAAACACUUUCUUUUCCCAUCCUUUUUUGCCUUGGGGAGCAGAUAAUAAGUCUCCCUAUGUGGAAAACUAGAGAUGGUGGCUUAUGUAACAAUUGGAAACACAUAAUUCAAUUGAAAUUUGAUUUCUUUUUAGAAUGUCCUAUGGUCC